GUGCUUCCUUCAACAGCACAUAUUAAAAUAAUACAGAGAAGAUUAGCAUGACCCCUGCACAAGGAUAAAACACAAAUCUGUGAAAUAAAAAGAAUAAAA
Molecule: small nuclear RNA, 99 nt
Filed under: Salvator merianae (Argentine black and white tegu)
Lineage: Eukaryota; Metazoa; Chordata; Lepidosauria; Squamata; Teiidae
Source: RNAcentral